UGAUGACAAAUAGACAAUCACCAAUAUACAGAGAUCGAACUGACUUAGCUGCAAAUCUUUCAAUGAGAAAUUUGUAAUUGAGUUCAAGUUAUGCCAGCCAAAAUUAUUCCCAUUAUUUUUACCUCUCUAUUUGUGAUUCUAACUUUUUCAGCUUGCGCAGUACAUGGUUCAGCCAACAACAAUUCCAGUCAACCGAUCCGUAAUCGUCCAAACAUUUAUUCACUGGAUUUUUUGUUGCCUGGAACUAUCGUUGAAUAUAGACGGCAAUGCGCUCGUUUCAGCUCUUACUUCUGCCUCGUCAAGUUUUGGCGGCCCCAACAGAAUACGUCCCGAGCAUCUCCAGCUAAUUUUGUACCUAAGACCGAAGAGAGGAGAAUGUUUAAUUUGGCUAAAAACAACUUCAAGAAACUGAACUGGUUUUCGUUCUUCAAAGACGACGAAAUUUUUGGUGGUUGUUGUCGAUAUCAGCAGCAAACAUAUUUGCGUUGGGGGAUUAGAAACAACCUCUCUGCCAAUCGGUACCUGCAAGAAUUAUCAAACUUCAGCUGCAAGGAAACGUAUUUGAAGUCUCUACAGUUGAUUUACGACGGGUCCAUCUGUAGAAAUUUGGUAACCAGUCUAUCCUAUGGGAAAGGUCAAACCAAAAUAAAAGGCUCAUCUGUGAAUGCACAAAUCGUCUUGACAGUUCCGGGGAUACCCGUCGUCUUUAUCUUCCAGUGGCGAGAUGUGUUCCAUCGCUUGACAUGGGAUUGGUUCAAAACUAACAUCCUUUGCUUAGAGCAUCCGUGGAUUUGCGAACAGUAGUCACUGAAAAUUGAUGUAGUUUUGAAUGGCCUUCAAAAAUGCAAAACCUACUAAAGUAUUUCGAGUUUACACGUUCGCGAAGUGAACCGCUAUUUUCUGCUGCUGAGGAAAUGAUCUUUUCAUUA
Symsagittifera roscoffensis is the source of this 929-nucleotide long non-coding RNA. RefSeq lists it as uncharacterized. The transcript has 5 exons. NCBI's taxonomy places the organism in Eukaryota, Metazoa, Xenacoelomorpha, Acoela, Convolutidae. The record is from RefSeq and is a predicted model, not a curated record.